RNAcentral lists this long non-coding RNA (24753 nucleotides) under Oncorhynchus mykiss (rainbow trout). RNAcentral's name for it is "lncRNA (ENSOMYG00000038033.2)". Lineage: Eukaryota; Metazoa; Chordata; Actinopteri; Salmoniformes; Salmonidae. The record is from RNAcentral.
GCCAGUGAUCUCAUGGACAGCAGCCCCCUAAGGAACAUUGGAAGAGGCAAACAUGGCAAAAUCAAGAAACCACGUGGGGGACUUCUUGGAGGAGUUCAGAGAGCAGAUCAUUGCGCAGGUGAGAUUAUCUGGGCCCAUAGUAGACGCUGUGAUCUCACAACAUCUUAUCCCAGAAGAGCUGGCACACAGCGUCCGUGCAGCCCAGACCACACAAGACCAGAUGAGGGCUCUGUUUGAAGCCGUAGAGAGAGAGACACCACAAACCAAACUUGCAUUCCAUCUGAUAUUGAGACGGAAAGAGCCUGAACUCAUGGACAAGCUAGAGCAGAGACAACGAAACAGUAAGAUGACACAGACAGGAUUGGAUCAAAGGUAUGGAGAUACCACAACAUUAGAGGAUAAGACCACACCAAAACUUGGCAUACAGACAAAAAAGGAAUCUCUUAAGAGACGAAGACAAGAAACAAUGCAAGCAAUUGAGGAGAUUGAAAAACUUUGGGAGGGGUCAAGAAGGGAGAGAAAUGAAACUAACUACAUGAAAGCAAAGAUUAAGCAACAACAAGAGGAAAUAGAAAGGCUAAUGGCUGAGAAACAAGAGCAAAACACAAAGAUGGAGCUGAUGAGGAUGGAGAUCCAGAAUGUGAAUGAAAAACUGAAACAGAACAUGGAGGAAAUAAAUAUAGAGAAAGACGGAAUACGACAAAUGUGGGCUGAUGUCCAAACAGAGAAAGACAUUCUGGAGAGAAGAUACAAUGAGACCAUUAACGAGAGACAGAGUUUGGAAUUGAUCAAGUAUGAGACAUUGAGAGCAAAAGAGGAGAUGGAGCACUGCAAGGAAACAACCAAACAAGAGCAGGAGAAAAUGGAACAGAUUAAGGCUGACAUUCAGGGACAGAUAGAGGACAUGGAAAUAAGAAUUGCAGAAACCAAUCAAGUAAAAGAAAAAAUGGAAGCGAUGAAGGCCGAUGUACACAGGGAGCAAGGUCAGCUGGAGACAAAAAGAGAUGACAUUAAAAGACAAAAAGAACAGUUUGAGCAGAUUAAAUGUGAGAUAAACAAAGUAAAAGAAGAGAUGGAUCGAAGGUGGUAUGAAACGGAGAAAGAAGAGCUUGAGCAGAGAGUUAGGAUCCAGCAAGAGAAAGAGGAACUUGCCAACGUAAAAGCUGAGCUGCAGAGAGCAAAAGAGGAGGUUGAUCAAAACAGGGAGAAGACGAAGCAAGAGAAGGACCUGGUCAACAAAAUGAAAGCAGAAAUUCUUCUAGAAAAGGAUUCACUUGAGAAGGACAAACAAGAAACAUUACGAAAACAAAAGGAGUUGGAGCAGAUCAAGUAUGCGAUUCAAAUGGACAAAGAGGAGAUUGAGCAAAACAGAGAGGAAGCAAAGCGAGAGAAUGAUAAGAUGGAACAGAGGGAAGCUGAACUGCAGAGACAAGUGGAAAAGAUUGAGAGAAACAUUGAGGAGACAAAGCAAGAAAAUUACAGAAUGGAAAACGUAAAAGCAGAGAUACAGAGAACGAAAGAAGCCCUGGAGAAACAAAAAGAUGACACCAGGCGAGUGAAGGAGGAAAUGGAGAAAAGAAGGUAUGAGACUGUCAAGGAGGAGCUGGAGCAGAGAGCUGAAAUACAGAGACAGAGAGAAGAAGUGGAAAUGCUCAAGUCUGAAAUGCAGAAAGCCAAGGACGUUGAAAAAACAAGAGGAAACCGAGAGAGAGAGGAAGCCAAAAAGUGGAGUGAAGAAGUAAAACGACAGAGAGAUGGGAUCAAACAAUUGAGAGCUGAAGUUCAGAAGGAAAAAGACAACGUGGAGAGGAAAAAGCAAGAGACAAUGAGAGAGAGACAAGAAUUGGAGAGGAUUCAUUUUGAAACGCUGAGAAUGAAAGAGGAGAAUGAGCAAAGCAGGGAGAUCACAAGAAGAGAAAAGGAGCAAAUGGAGCAGAUGAAAGUUAAUAUACAGAGACAGAUAGAAGAUAUAGAAGAAAAAGUUACAGAGACAAAACAAGCAAAAGACAAAAUGGAAGAAAUGAAAGCAGAGAUACAGAGACAACGUGAAGAUUUGGAGAGUAGAAGGGAAAAGACAGAGAAAGAGAGAGCGCAUUAUGAAGAGGUUAAGUGUGAGAUAAUUCAAUUGAAAGAGGAAAUGGAAAGGAAAUGGUGUGAAACAGAGAAAGACGAGGUGGAACAGAGAGCAAGAGCGCAGCAAGAGACGGAAACACUUGAAAGGUUGAAGGAGGAAAAACAGAAAGUGCGAGAGGAAAUAGAAAGAAACAAGGUGGAAACGCAACGAGAAAGAGAGAACCUAGAAAAAAUGAAAGCCCGUGUGAAAGACGAGAAGAACAUUGCAGAGAAAAUAUCAGAAGAGGCCAAGAUAAAGAAUGAGGACUUAACGGAAAUGGAGCGUAACCUUCAGGAAGAAAGGGAAGAGAUCGAGAGGAGCAAGCAAGUCACAAAGCAAGAGAAGGAAGAGAUCGUAGAGAUGAAGGCUGAACUCCAAAGACAAAUGACAGAAAUAGAGAACCGUGUGAAGGAGACAAACAGAGCAAAAUAUGAGGUGGAUCAGGCAAAGCUGGUCGUACAAAAAGUGGAGUCCCAGCUGAAAAAGCAAAGAGACGAGGCUGGAAGAACAAAAGAGGAAAUUGAGAAACAGAGAUAUGAAGCAGUGAAAGAAGAGCUUGAGCAACGAGCUGAAAUCCAACGAGAAAGAGAAAUGUUGGAGAAAGUAAGAGACGAGAUACGGAGAGCCGAAGAAGACUCCGAAAAAACACAGCUUCAGAGCGAAAAAGGGGACUUACAAAAGAAGAUGGAUGAAAUACAGCAAGAGAGGGAGAUGCUUGAGCAAAUUAAAACAGAGGUUUUGUCAGAAAGGGCCAUGUUGAAAAGACAAAUCCAUGAAACCGCAAGAGAAAGAGAGGACUUGGAAUUGCUUCGGUGUGAGACCCUGGAGAAAAAGCUGGAGCUUGAGAAAAAGAAGGAUGAAGCUGUCAAGGAAGAGCUUGAACUGAGAGCUGAAAUGCAGAGAGAUAGAGAGGAGAUAGAGAGAACCAAGAAGAAAAUAGAGAGGGAGUUAAAACAAGGCAGGGAUGCCACAAGUCUAGAGAGAGGCGAAGUGGAACUGAUGAAGGUUGAAGUACAGAACCAGCAUGAGGAAAUGACUAGAUCCAUUGAGAGGACAAGGCAAGCCAGAGACGUGAUGGAACAGAUGAAGGAUGAAAUUCAGAGAGAAAAACAACUUUUGGAGAGAAUAAGGGAAGAAACAAUAAGAGAGAAAGAACCCUAUGAAACGGUCAAGGAUGAGCUAAACAGAGUAAAAGAAGAGAUGGAAAAACUCUGGGACGAGGUACAGAGGGACGACCAGGAAGAGAGAGCCAAACUGCAUCAAGAAAAUGUGGAGCUGAAUAAGAGAAUGGAGGAAAUUAAGACAGAGAUUAGCCAGAUAGAAACAAUUAAAUUUGACCUAGAGAGACAGAGAGAUGAGAUUGAAGCAAGGAUGGAGAAGACAAAGAGAGAGAUGGACAAGCUGGAACAAACAAAGGCUGAAAUACAAAGACAGAAAGAGGACAUUGAAAACAAGAUGACAGAAACAAAGAGUGAGAAAGAGGAGAUGGAAAAGAUCAAAUCUGAGAUACAGAAGCAGAAAGAGGACAUUGAAAACAAAAUGCAACAAGCAGAGACAGAAAUGGAUGAGCUGAAAAGUGUGAGGGAAGAUAUUCAGAGGCAGAGACAAGAGGUUGAGAACAUGAUGCAGAAGGCCAAGAGAGAGAUUGGAGAGAUGGAACUAGUGAAGACUGAGAUGCAAAGGAAGAAAAAGGACCUUGAACAGAUGAUGAGAAAGACUAAGAGAAAAAAGGAAGAAAUGGAAAAGAUGAAGGAUGAAAUAGAGAGAGCGGAAGAAGAGAUGGAACAAAGAAGGGAAGAGACCAAAAGGGAGAGAGAUGCAAUUGAACAGGCGAAGGCUGAAAUAGAAAGAGCAAAAGAGGAACUGGAGAUUCGUCUGGAAGAGGGCUUUAGAGAUAUUGAUGAGAAGGAACAGAUGAACGCUGAGAUACAGAGAUUAAUCCAAGAGGUAGAGCGAACCAGAGAAAUGGUACGACAAACAAAAGUGGCAAUGGAAAACAGGAUGGAAGAAAGCAAUAUGGAGAUGUGUGACAAAGACAGAGUGAAUGCUGUAAUCCAGAGGUUGAUUCUAGAGGUGGAACAAACCAGAGAGGUGUUAAGAAGGGUGAAAGAAGAAAUGGAACUGAGCAAGGGGGAGUUAAAAGGGGAAAAGGACAAAAUCAGACUGAUGAAGACGGAGACACAAAAAAGAAAAAAAGAGCUGGAGCAAAGGAUGGAGAAGAUCAUGCGAGAGAGGGAUGAGUUAGAACUGGUGAAGUCAAAGAUACAGAGACAACGGGAAGAGCUGAAACAGAAGAUGGAAGAUGGAAAGACUGAGAGUGAAAAGAUGGAACAGAUGAAAGAUGAAAUUGAGAAACAGAGAUGUGAACAACGAGCUGAAAUCCAAAGAGAAAGAGAAAUGUUGGAGAAAGUAAGAGACGAGAUACGGAGAGCCGAAGACGAUUCCGAAGAAAUACAGUUUCAGAGCGAAAAAGGGGACUUACAAAAGAAGAUGGAUGAAACAAAGCAAGAGAGGGAGAUGCUUGAGCAAAUUAAAACAGAGGUUUUGUCAGAAAGGGCCAUGUUGAAAAGACAAAUCCAUGAAACCACAAGAGAAAGAGAGGACUUGGAAUUGCUUCGGUGUGAAACCCUGAAGAAAAAGCUGGAGCUUGAGAAAAAGCAGGAGGAAGCUGUCAAGGAAGAGCUUGAACUGAGAGCUGAAAUACAGAGAGAUAGAGAAGAGAUAGAGAGAACCAAGAAGAAAAUAGAGAGGGAGUUAAAACAAGGCAGGGAUGCCACAAGUCUAGAGAGAGGCGAAGUGGAACGGAUGAAGGUUGAAGUACAGAACCAGCAUGAGGAAAUGACUAGAUCCAUUGAGAGGACAAGGCAAGCCAGAGACGUGAUGGAACAGAUGAAGGAUGAAAUUCAGAGAGAAAAACAACUUUUGGAGAGAAUAAGGGAAGAAACAAUAAGAGAGAAAGAACCCUAUGAAACGGUCAAGGAUGAGCUAAGCAGAGUAAAAGAAGAGAUGGAAAAACUCUGGGACGAGGUACAGAGGGACGAGCAGGAAGAGAGAGCCAAACUGCAUCGAGAUAAUGUGGAGCUGAAUAAGAGAAUGGAGGAAAUUAAGACAGAGAUUAACCAGAUAGAAACAAUUAAAUUUGACCUAGAGAGACAGAGAGAUGAGAUUGAAGCAAGGAUGGAGAAGACAAUGAGAGAGAUGGACAAGCUGGAACAAACAAAGGCUGAAAUACAAAGACAGAAAGAGGACAUUGAAAACAAGAUGACAGAAACAAAGAGUGAGAAAGAGGAGAUGGAAAGGAUCAAAUCUGAGAUACAGAAGCAGAAAGAGGAAAUUGAAAACAAAAUGCAACAAGCAGAGACAGAAAUGGAUGAGCUGAAAAGUGUGAGGGAAGAUAUUCAGAGGCAGAGACAAGAGGUCGAGAACAUGAUGCAGAAGACCAAGAGAGAGAUUGGAGAGAUGGAACUAGUGAAGACUGAGAUGCAAAGGAAGAAAAAGGACCUUGAACAGAUGAUGAGAAAGACUAAGAGAAAAAGGGAAGAAAUGGAAAAGAUGAAGGAUGAAAUAGAGAGAGCGGAAGAAGAGAUGGAACAAAGAAGGGAAGAGACCAAAAGGGAGAGAGAUGCAAUUGAACAGGCGAAGGCUGAAAUAGAAAGAGCAAAAGAGGAACUGGAGAUUCGUCUGGAAGAGGGCUUUAGAGAUAUUGAUGAGAAGGAACAGAUGAACGCUGAGAUACAGAGAUUAAUCCAAGAGGUAGAGCGAACCAGAGAAAUGGUACGACAAACAAAAGUGGCAAUGGAAAACAGGAUGGAAGAAAGCAAUAUGGAGAUGGGUGACAAAGACAGAGUGAAUGCUGUAAUCCAGAGGUUGAUUCUAGAGGUGGAACAAACCAGAGAGGUGUUAAGAAGGGUGAAAGAAGAAAUGGAACUGAGCAAGGGGGAGUUAAAAGGGGAAAAGGACAAAAUCAGACUGAUGAAGACGGAGACACAAAAAAGAAAAAAAGAGCUGGAGCAAAGGAUGGAGAAGAUCAUGCGAGAGAGGGAUGAGUUAGAACUGGUGAAGUCAAAGAUACAGAGACAACGGGAAGAGCUGAAACAGAAGAUGGAAGAUGGAAAGACUGAGAGUGAAAAGAUGGAACAGAUGAAAGAUGAAAUACAGAGAGCGGUUGCAGAGAUAGACCUGGCAAGGGAGGAGAUACAAAGGGAAAAAAGGAAGAUUAAAGAGGACAAUGCAAGGGAAGAGAAGGAUAUGAUGGAGUCUAUGAAAGCUGAGCUUGACAGACAGAAAGAGGGAAAAAACAGAAGGAAAAAAGAAAUGCCAAUGAUGAAGACCACGGUCCAGAGGCCACAGGAUGAAACAGAGAAAGCCUACCUUGGAGAUACAACAACUGAGAUACCAUUUGAGUCACAAGAGCUAAGAACCGCCAUUGAAAAAGAAAGAAGAGACUUGGAACGCAGAGAGAAAAUGAUUAUGAGAGAGAAGUAUGACCUGGAAAAGUCAAAAGCCGAGUUUGAGAAGGAAAAGGCGGGGAUGGAGAACAUGAUCACAAAACAACGAGAGGAGAGCAGACAAAUGAUUGAGGACAUAGAAAAGAAAAAAGAAAAUCUCGAGCAAAUGGAUGCAGAGAUGCAAAGGAAAAGACAGGUCAUCGUAAGGGAAAUGCAAUAUAAAACACAAAAGAUGCAGGAUUUAAAAAAAGCAAAAGAUAAAUUUAAACAAACGCAAGUUAAAUUUAGCAAAGAGAAAAUUGAAAUGGGAAACAUCAAAAAGGCUACCUUGGCGGAAAGAAAUAAACUAGCAGUAGAGCAAGCUUACAUAGAGAAACGUAAGGAGGAGAUGGAAGCCAUCCUGGAAACGACAAAGAAGGAGAAUGAAGAUCUGCUGAACUUAAAAGCUCAAAUAGAGGGAUGGAAAGAAGACAAAGACGAACGGGGUGAACGCCUGAACAGGGAGAGAAAGGAACUUGAAUAUCUGAAAAGUAAGAUUCAAAAAGAAAAAGAGGAUACGAUAAGAAACAGGAACAUUUCGGAAAAAGAGAAAAAGGACUUGGAGCUGAUGAGAUCUGAAAUGCAGAAAGAAAAGGGGAAGAUGGAACAAGAGAAGCUUAAGGUACAAGUUGAGAGACAAAAGCUUGAACAAAUGAAACUGGAGUUACAGAGAAAGUCCAACGACCUAGAUAUGAUCAUAGAAGACACAAAGAGGGAGAAAGUCAGUGCAUCACAAAUUCCUGUCCAAAUACAACAACAAAAGAACCAAAUUGAUUGUUUUGUGGAAGAGACAAAGAGGAGUAAAAUCGAAGAAGAAUUGAUGAGCGCUGAAAUAAAAAGACAGAAAGAGGAGAUAGACAGCAAACAAGACAUUCUAUCAAAUGAGAGAGAAGAUCUGAAUAAACUCAGAACAGAGGUAAACAAUCAGAGAGAAGAGAUUGAAAAUAUCACGCAAGAGCAAAUUAAAGAAACAUUUCUAAUUAAUCAGACAAAGACAGAGAUGGAAAAAGAGAGAUGUGAGAUGGACAGAAUAAAGAAAAUGAUAGAGCAGAAUAUGGAUGAGCUAGAGCAGAGAAAGUGUGAGAUGAGAAAAGUAGAAAACAUAAUUAUCGAACUGAGAAAAGAAGAAGAGAGUAUAACGAAUGAGAUGAACAGGAUGAGAAAGAACACAGAGCAGAAAAGUUUUGAAAUGCAGAGACGGUCUGAAGACAUGAAUCAGCUAAUGGAUGAGACAAGACGGGAGAGGGGGAAGGUUGAAGAACUGGCUAUCCAAACUCAAAAACAAAGAGAAGAAAUGGUGGGUUUUAUGGAAAAGAACAAACAAAAGCAGAACGAACUGGAACUCAUGACUGACAAGAUUGAAAGAGAGAAACAAGACAUCGAAGACAGUCGGGAUGUGCUAACAAAGGAGAGAGAGGAGCUGGAACAAAUGAGGAGUGAGAUACAGCAACAGAGAGAGGAGACAGAAUCUCACAUGGAAGACCAAAGGAAAGAGAAAGAACAUUUGGAACAAAUGACGACGGACAUGAAAAAACAGUUGCUAGAGGUGGACAAUGACAAGGAAAUGAUACAAAGCUCAAUGGGUGAACUGAGAGUGAAAGAGGCAGAAAUGGUGAGAGAAAAAGACAACAUGGAUAACAAGAUGGCUAGGCUCAAAGAGGAAGAGGAUAGAAUGCGGGAAGAAAUAGGAAGGAAGAUGGACAUCUUAAAGCAGGAAAGUUGUGAAAUCAAAAGACUUAGAGAUGAAAUUGACAGUGAAAAGGACCAGCUGAAUGCAAAAUUGCUUGAGUUGGAAAAAAUGCAUGAAGAACUAGAUAGAGAGAAGAAGGAAGUGAAAGACAGGAAGGAUGAAACACUGAAAGAGAAAGAUCAGUUGGAAGAGAGGCGAGGUAAGAUAAGUAAGGAGAAAGAGGAUAUCAGUCUUGAACUGAUGAAAAGACAAAGGGAAGACUUGAUGAGCUUGAAGGCUGAAGCAGAAGUACAGACCGAGCCUAUGGAAACAGACUGGAAGGAAAAGCUCACGAGGGAAAGACAACAACUUGAAGAUGUAAAGGAGGAGAUACAGAAGGAAAAAGAAGCCUUUGAGAGAAAGAAGGGAUUGGCCAUGAAAGAAAGAGAUGAGUUUGAUCUGAUGAAGUCUGAAACCCAGGGACAAUUGGAGGAAAUAGAACAAAACAAACAAGACAUUCGUGUGGAGAAGGAAAAGCUGGAUCAGAUCAAAGCUGAGUUAGAAAGACGGUCUGAAGACAUCAAUCAGCUCAUGGUUGAGACAAGACGGGAGAGGGGGAAGGUUGAAGAACUGGCUAUCCAAACUAAAAAACAAAGAGAAGAAAUGGUGGGUUUUAUGGAAAAGAACAAACAAAAGCAAAACGAACUGGAACUCAUGACUGACAAGAUUGAAAGAGAGAAACAAGACAUCGAAGACAGUCGAGAUGUGCUAACAAAGGAGAGAGAGGAGCUGGAACAAAUGAGGAGUGAGAUACAGCAACAGAGAGAGGAGACAGAAUCUCACAUGGAAGACCAAAGGAAAGAGAAAGAACAUUUGGAACAAAUGACGACGGACAUGAAAAAACAGUUGCUAGAGGUGGACAAUGACAAGGAAAUGAUACAAAGCUCAAUGGGUGAACUGAGAGUGAAAGAGGCAGAAAUGGUGAGAGAAAAAGACAACAUGGAUAACAAGAUGGCUAGGCUCAAAGAGGAAGAGGAUAGAAUGCGGGAAGAAAUAGGAAGGAAGAUGGACAUCUUAAAGCAGGAAAGUUGUGAAAUCAAAAGACUUAGAGAUGAAAUUGACAGUGAAAAGGACCAGCUGAAUGCAAAAUUGCUUGAGUUGGAAAAAAUGCAUGAAGAACUAGAUAGAGAGAAGAAGGAAGUGAAAGACAGGAAGGAUGAAACACUGAAAGAGAAAGAUCAGUUGGAAGAGAGGCGAGGUAAGAUAAGUAAGGAGAAAGAGGAAUUGGAUAUCAGUCUUGAACUGAUGAAAAGACAAAGGGAAGACUUGAUGAGCUUGAAGGCUGAAGCAGAAGUACAGACCGAGCCUAUGGAAACAGACUGGAAGGAAAAGCUCACGAGGGAAAGACAACAACUUGAAGAUGUAAAGGAGGAGAUAGAGAAGGAAAAAGAAGCCAUUGAGAGAAAGAAGGGAUUGACCAUGAAAGAAAGAGAUGAGUUUGAUCUGAAGAAGUCUGAAACACAGGGACAAUUGGAGGAAAUAGAACAAAACAAACAAGACAUUCGUGUGGAGAAGGAAAAGCUGGAUCAGAUCAAAGCUGAGUUAGAAAGACGGUCUGAAGACAUCAAUCAGCUCAUGGAUGAGACAAGACGGGAGAGGGAGAAGGUUGAAGAACUGGCUAUCCAAACUCAAAAACAAAGAGAAGAAAUGGUGGGUUUUAUGGAAAAGAACAAACAAAAGCAGAACGAACUGGAACUCAUGACUGACAAGAUUGAAAGAGAGAAACGAGACAUCGAAGACAGUCGGGAUGUGCUAACAAAGGAGAGAGAUGAGCUGGAACAAAUGAGGAGUGAGAUACAGCAACAGAGAGAGGAGACAGAAUCUCACAUGGAAGACCAAAGGAAAGAGAAAGAACAUUUGGAACAAAUGACGACGGACAUGAAAAAACAGUUGCUAGAGGUGGACAAUGACAAGGAAAUGAUACAAAGCUCAAUGGGUGAACUGAGAGUGAAAGAGGCAGAAAUGGUGAGAGAAAAAGACAACAUGGAUAACAAGAUGGCUAGGCUCAAAGAGGAAGAGGAUAGAAUGCGGGAAGAAAUAGGAAGGAAGAUGGACAUCUUAAAGCAGGAAAGUUGUGAAAUCAAAAGACUUAGAGAUGAAAUUGACAGUGAAAAGGACCAGCUGAAUGCAAAAUUGCUUGAGUUGGAAAAAAUGCAUGAAGAACUAGAUAGAGAGAAGAAGGAAGUGAAAGACAGGAAGGAUGAAACACUGAAAGAGAAAGAUCAGUUGGAAGAGAGGCGAGGUAAGAUAAGUAAGGAGAAAGAGGAAUUGGAUAUCAGUCUUGAACUGAUGAAAAGACAAAGGGAAGACUUGAUGAGCUUGAAGGCUGAAGCAGAAGUACAGACCGAGCCUAUGGAAACAGACUGGAAGGAAAAGCUCACGAGGGAAAGACAACAACUUGAAGAUGUAAAGGAGGAGAUACAGAAGGAAAAAGAAGCCCUUGAGAGAAAGAAGGGAUUGACCAUGAAAGAAAGAGAUGAGUUUGAUCUGAUGAAGUCUGAAACCCAGGGACAAUUGGAGGAAAUAGAACAAAACAAACAAGACAUUCGUGUGGAGAAGGAAAAGCUGGAUCAGAUCAAAGCUGAGUUAGAAAGACGGUCUGAAGACAUCAAUCAGCUCAUGGAUGAGACAAGACGGGAGAGGGGGAAGGUUGAAGAACUGGCUAUCCAAACUCAAAAACAAAGAGAAGAAAUGGUGGGUUUUAUGGAAAAGAACAAACAAAAGCAGAACGAACUGGAACUCAUGACUGACAAGAUUGAAAGAGAGAAACAAGACAUCGAAGACAGUCGGGAUGUGCUAACAAAGGAGAGAGAGGAGCUGGAACAAAUGAGGAGUGAUAUACAGCAACAGAGAGAGGAGACAGAAUCUCACAUGGAAGACCAAAGGAAAGAGAAAGAACAUUUGGAACAAAUGACGACGGACAUGAAAAAACAGUUGCUAGAGGUGGACAAUGACAAGGAAAUUAUACAAAGCUCAAUGGGUGAACUGAGAGUGAAAGAGGCAGAAAUGGUGAGAGAAAAAGACAACAUGGAUAACAAGAUGGCUAGGCUCAAAGAGGAAGAGGAUAGAAUGCGGGAAGAAAUAGGAAGGAAGAUGGACAUCUUAAAGCAGGAAAGUUGUGAAAUCAAAAGACUUAGAGAUGAAAUUGACAGUGAAAAGGACCAGCUGAAUGCAAAAUUGCUUGAGUUGGAAAAAAUGCAUGAAGAACUAGAUAGAGAGAAGAAGGAAGUGAAAGACAGGAAGGAUGAAACACUGAAAGAGAAAGAUCAGUUGGAAGAGAGGCGAGGUAAGAUAAGUAAGGAGAAAGAGGAAUUGGAUAUCAGUCUUGAACUGAUGAAAAGACAAAGGGAAGACUUGAUGAGCUUGAAGGCUGAAGCAGAAGUACAGACCGAGCCUAUGGAAACAGACUGGAAGGAAAAGCUCACGAUGGAAAGACAACAACUUGAAGAUGUAAAGGAGGAGAUACAGAAGGAAAAAGAAGCCUUUGAGAGAAAGAAGGGAUUGACCAUGAAAGAAAGAGAUGAGUUUGAUCUGAUGAAGUCUGAAACCCAGGGACAAUUGGAGGAAAUAGAACAAAACAAACAAGACAUUCGUGUGGAGAAGGAAAAGGUGGAUCAGAUCAAAGCUGAGUUAGAAAGACGGUCUGAAGACAUCAAUCAGCUCAUGGAUGAGACAAGACAGGAGAGGGGGAAGGUUGAAGAACUGGCUAUCCAAACUCAAAAACAAAGAGAAGAAAUGGUGGGUUUUAUGGAAAAGAACAAACAAAAGCAGAACGAACUGGAACUCAUGACUGACAAGAUUGAAAGAGAGAAACAAGACAUCGAAGACAGUCGGGAUGUGCUAACAAAGGAGAGAGAGGAGCUGGAACAAAUGAGGAGUGAGAUACAGCAACAGAGAGAGGAGACAGAAUCUCACAUGGAAGACCAAAGGAAAGAGAAAGAACAUUUGGAACAAAUGACGACGGACAUGAAAAAACAGUUGCUAGAGGUGGACAAUGACAAGGAAAUGAUACAAAGCUCAAUGGGUGAACUGAGAGUGAAAGAGGCAGAAAUGGUGAGAGAAAAAGACAACAUGGAUAACAAGAUGGCUAGGCUCAAAGAGGAAGAGGAUAGAAUGCGGGAAGAAAUAGGAAGGAAGAUGGACAUCUUAAAGCAGGAAAGUUGUGAAAUCAAAAGACUUAGAGAUGAAAUUGACAGUGAAAAGGACCAGCUGUAUGCAAAAUUGCUUGAGUUGGAAAAAAUGCAUGAAGAACUAGAUAGAGAGAAGAAGGAAGUGAAAGACAGGAAGGAUGAAACACUGAAAGAGAAAGAUCAGUUGGAAGAGAGGCGAGGUAAGAUAAGUAAGGAGAAAGAGGAAUUGGAUAUCAGUCUUGAACUGAUGAAAAGACAAAGGGAAGACUUGAUGAGCUUGAAGGAUGAAGCAGAAGUACAGACCGAGCCUAUGGAAACAGACUGGAAGGAAAAGCUCACGAGGGAAAGACAACAACUUGAAGAUGUAAAGGAGGAGAUACAGAAGGAAAAAGAAGCCUUUGAGAGAAAGAAGGGAUUGACCAUGAAAGAAAGAGAUGAGUUUGAUCUGAUGAAGUCUGAAACCCAGGGACAAUUGGAGGAAAUAGAACAAAACAAACAAGACAUUCGUGUGGAGAAGGAAAAGCUGGAUCAGAUCAAAGCUGAGUUAGAAAGACGGUCUGAAGACAUCAAUCAGCUCAUGGAUGAGACAAGACAGGAGAGGGGGAAGGUUGAAGAACUGGCUAUCCAAACUCAAAAACAAAGAGAAGAAAUGGUGGGUUUUAUGGAAAAGAACAAACAAAAGCAGAACGAACUGGAACUCAUGACUGACAAGAUUGAAAGAGAGAAACAAGACAUCGAAGACAGUCGGGAUGUGCUAACAAAGGAGAGAGAGGAGCUGGAACAAAUGAGGAGUGAGAUACAGCAACAGAGAGAGGAGACAGAAUCUCACAUGGAAGACCAAAGGAAAGAGAAAGAACAUUUGGAACAAAUGACGACGGACAUGAAAAAACAGUUGCUAGAGGUGGACAAUGACAAGGAAAUGAUACAAAGCUCAAUGGGUGAACUGAGAGUGAAAGAGGCAGAAAUGGUGAGAGAAAAAGACAACAUGGAUAACAAGAUGGCUAGGCUCAAAGAGGAAGAGGAUAGAAUGCGGGAAGAAAUAGGAAGGAAGAUGGACAUCUUAAAGCAGGAAAGUUGUGAAAUCAAAAGACUUAGAGAUGAAAUUGACAGUGAAAAGGACCAGCUGUAUGCAAAAUUGCUUGAGUUGGAAAAAAUGCAUGAAGAACUAGAUAGAGAGAAGAAGGAAGUGAAAGACAGGAAGGAUGAAACACUGAAAGAGAAAGAUCAGUUGGAAGAGAGGCGAGGUAAGAUAAGUAAGGAGAAAGAGGAAUUGGAUAUCAGUCUUGAACUGAUGAAAAGACAAAGGGAAGACUUGAUGAGCUUGAAGGAUGAAGCAGAAGUACAGACCGAGCCUAUGGAAACAGACUGGAAGGAAAAGCUCACGAGGGAAAGACAACAACUUGAAGAUGUAAAGGAGGAGAUACAGAAGGAAAAAGAAGCCUUUGAGAGAAAGAAGGGAUUGACCAUGAAAGAAAGAGAUGAGUUUGAUCUGAUGAAGUCUGAAACCCAGGGACAAUUGGAGGAAAUAGAACAAAACAAACAAGACAUUCGUGUGGAGAAGGAAAAGCUGGAUCAGAUCAAAGCUGAGUUAGAAAGACGGUCUGAAGACAUCAAUCAGCUCAUGGAUGAGACAAGACAGGAGAGGGGGAAGGUUGAAGAACUGGCUAUCCAAACUCAAAAACAAAGAGAAGAAAUGGUGGGUUUUAUGGAAAAGAACAAACAAAAGCAGAACGAACUGGAACUCAUGACUGACAAGAUUGAAAGAGAGAAACGAGACAUCGAAGACAGUCGGGAUGUGCUAACAAAGGAGAGAGAGGAGCUGGAACAAAUGAGGAGUGAGAUACAGCAACAGAGAGAGGAGACAGAAUCUCACAUGGAAGACCAAAGGAAAGAGAAAGAACAUUUGGAACAAAUGACGACGGACAUGAAAAAACAGUUGCUAGAGGUGGACAAUGACAAGGAAAUGAUACAAAGCUCAAUGGGUGAACUGAGAGUGAAAGAGGCAGAAAUGGUGAGAGAAAAAGACAACAUGGAUAACAAGAUGGCUAGGCUCAAAGAGGAAGAGGAUAGAAUGCGGGAAGAAAUAGGAAGGAAGAUGGACAUCUUAAAGCAGGAAAGUUGUGAAAUCAAAAGACUUAGAGAUGAAAUUGACAGUGAAAAGGACCAGCUGUAUGCAAAAUUGCUUGAGUUGGAAAAAAUGCAUGAAGAACUAGAUAGAGAGAAGAAGGAAGUGAAAGACAGGAAGGAUGAAACACUGAAAGAGAAAGAUCAGUUGGAAGAGAGGCGAGGUAAGAUAAGUAAGGAGAAAGAGGAAUUGGAUAUCAGUCUUGAACUGAUGAAAAGACAAAGGGAAGACUUGAUGAGCUUGAAGGAUGAAGCAGAAGUACAGACCGAGCCUAUGGAAACAGACUGGAAGGAAAAGCUCACGAGGGAAAGACAACAACUUGAAGAUGUAAAGGAGGAGAUACAGAAGGAAAAAGAAGCCUUUGAGAGAAAGAAGGGAUUGACCAUGAAAGAAAGAGAUGAGUUUGAUCUGAUGAAGUCUGAAACCCAGGGACAAUUGGAGGAAAUAGAACAAAACAAACAAGACAUUCGUGUGGAGAAGGAAAAGCUGGAUCAGAUCAAAGCUGAGUUAGAAAGACGGUCUGAAGACAUCAAUCAGCUCAUGGAUGAGACAAGACGGGAGAGGGGGAAGGUUGAAGAACUGGCUAUCCAAACUCAAAAACAAAGAGAAGAAAUGGUGGGUUUUAUGGAAAAGAACAAACAAAAGCAGAACGAACUGGAUCUCAUGACUGACAAGAUUGAAAGAGAGAAACAAGACAUCGAAGACAGUCGGGAUGUGCUAACAAAGGAGAGAGAGGAGCUGGAACAAAUGAGGAGUGAGAUACAGCAACAGAGAGAGGAGACAGAAUCUCACAUGGAAGACCAAAGGAAAGAGAAAGAACAUUUGGAACAAAUGACGACGGACAUGAAAAAACAGUUGCUAGAGGUGGACAAUGACAAGGAAAUGAUACAAAGCUCAAUGGGUGAACUGAGAGUGAAAGAGGCAGAAAUGGUGAGAGAAAAAGACAACAUGGAUAACAAGAUGGCUAGGCUCAAAGAGGAAGAGGAUAGAAUGCGGGAAGAAAUAGGAAGGAAGAUGGACAUCUUAAAGCAGGAAAGUUGUGAAAUCAAAAGACUUAGAGAUGAAAUUGACAGUGAAAAGGACCAGCUGUAUGCAAAAUUGCUUGAGUUGGAAAAAAUGCAUGAAGAACUAGAUAGAGAGAAGAAGGAAGUGAAAGACAGGAAGGAUGAAACACUGAAAGAGAAAGAUCAGUUGGAAGAGAGGCGAGGUAAGAUAAGUAAGGAGAAAGAGGAAUUGGAUAUCAGUCUUGAACUGAUGAAAAGACAAAGGGAAGACUUGAUGAGCUUGAAGGCUGAAGCAGAAGUACAGACCGAGCCUAUGGAAACAGACUGGAAGGAAAAGCUCACGAGGGAAAGACAACAACUUGAAGAUGUAAAGGAGGAGAUACAGAAGGAAAAAGAAGCCCUUGAGAGAAAGAAGGGAUUGACCAUGAAAGAAAGAGAUGAGUUUGAUCUGAUGAAGUCUGAAACCCAGGGACAAUUGGAGGAAAUAGAACAAAACAAACAAGACAUUCGUGUGGAGAAGGAAAAGCUGGAUCAGAUCAAAGCUGAGUUAGAAAGACGGUCUGAAGACAUCAAUCAGCUCAUGGAUGAGACAAGACGGGAGAGGGGGAAGGUUGAAGAACUGGCUAUCCAAACUCAAAAACAAAGAGAAGAAAUGGUGGGUUUUAUGGAAAAGAACAAACAAAAGCAGAACGAACUGGAUCUCAUGACUGACAAGAUUGAAAGAGAGAAACAAGACAUCGAAGACAGUCGGGAUGUGCUAACAAAGGAGAGAGAGGAGCUGGAACAAAUGAGGAGUGAGAUACAGCAACAGAGAGAGGAGACAGAAUCUCACAUGGAAGACCAAAGGAAAGAGAAAGAACAUUUGGAACAAAUGACGACGGACAUGAAAAAACAGUUGCUAGAGGUGGACAAUGACAAGGAAAUGAUACAAAGCUCAAUGGGUGAACUGAGAGUGAAAGAGGCAGAAAUGGUGAGAGAAAAAGACAACAUGGAUAACAAGAUGGCUAGGCUCAAAGAGGAAGAGGAUAGAAUGCGGGAAGAAAUAGGAAGGAAGAUGGACAUCUUAAAGCAGGAAAGUUGUGAAAUCAAAAGACUUAGAGAUGAAAUUGACAGUGAAAAGGACCAGCUGUAUGCAAAAUUGCUUGAGUUGGAAAAAAUGCAUGAAGAACUAGAUAGAGAGAAGAAGGAAGUGAAAGACAGGAAGGAUGAAACACUGAAAGAGAAAGAUCAGUUGGAAGAGAGGCGAGGUAAGAUAAGUAAGGAGAAAGAGGAAUUGGAUAUCAGUCUUGAACUGAUGAAAAGACAAAGGGAAGACUUGAUGAGCUUGAAGGCUGAAGCAGAAGUACAGACCGAGCCUAUGGAAACAGACUGGAAGGAAAAGCUCACGAGGGAAAGACAACAACUUGAAGAUGUAAAGGAGGAGAUACAGAAGGAAAAAGAAACCUUUGAGAGAAAGAAGGGAUUGACCAUGAAAGAAAGAGAUGAGUUUGAUCUGAUGAAGUCUGAAACCCAGGGACAAUUGGAGGAAAUAGAACAAAACAAACAAGACAUUCGUGUGGAGAAGGAAAAGCUGGAUCAGAUCAAAGCUGAGUUAGAAAGACGGUCUGAAGACAUCAAUCAGCUCAUGGAUGAGACAAGACGGGAGAGGGGGAAGGUUGAAGAACUGGCUAUCCAAACUCAAAAACAAAGAGAAGAAAUGGUGGGUUUUAUGGAAAAGAACAAACAAAAGCAGAACGAACUGGAUCUCAUGACUGACAAGAUUGAAAGAGAGAAACAAGACAUCGAAGACAGUCGGGAUGUGCUAACAAAGGAGAGAGAGGAGCUGGAACAAAUGAGGAGUGAGAUACAGCAACAGAGAGAGGAGACAGAAUCUCACAUGGAAGACCAAAGGAAAGAGAAAGAACAUUUGGAACAAAUGACGACGGACAUGAAAAAACAGUUGCUAGAGGUGGACAAUGACAAGGAAAUGAUACAAAGCUCAAUGGGUGAACUGAGAGUGAAAGAGGCAGAAAUGGUGAGAGAAAAAGACAACAUGGAUAACAAGAUGGCUAGGCUCAAAGAGGAAGAGGAUAGAAUGCGGGAAGAAAUAGGAAGGCAGAUGGACAUCUUAAAGCAGGAAAGUUGUGAAAUCAAAAGACUUAGAGAUGAAAUUGACAGUGAAAAGGACCAGCUGUAUGCAAAAUUGCUUGAGUUGGAAAAAAUGCAUGAAGAACUAGAUAGAGAGAAGAAGGAAGUGAAAGACAGGAAGGAUGAAACACUGAAAGAGAAAGAUCAGUUGGAAGAGAGGCGAGGUAAGAUAAGUAAGGAGAAAGAGGAAUUGGAUAUCAGUCUUGAACUGAUGAAAAGACAAAGGGAAGACUUGAUGAGCUUGAAGGCUGAAGCAGAAGUACAGACCGAGCCUAUGGAAACAGACUGGAAGGAAAAGCUCACGAGGGAAAGACAACAACUUGAAGAUGUAAAGGAGGAGAUACAGAAGGAAAAAGAAGCCCUUGAGAGAAAGAAGGGAUUGACCAUGAAAGAAAGAGAUGAGUUUGAUCUGAUGAAGUCUGAAACCCAGGGACAAUUGGAGGAAAUAGAACAAAACAAACAAGACAUUCGUGUGGAGAAGGAAAAGCUGGAUCAGAUCAAAGCUGAGUUAGAAAGACGGUCUGAAGACAUCAAUCAGCUCAUGGAUGAGACAAGACGGGAGAGGGGGAAGGUUGAAGAACUGGCUAUCCAAACUCAAAAACAAAGAGAAGAAAUGGUGGGUUUUAUGGAAAAGAACAAACAAAAGCAGAACGAACUGGAACUCAUGACUGACAAGAUUGAAAGAGAGAAACAAGACAUCGAAGACAGUCGGGAUGUGCUAACAAAGGAGAGAGAGGAGCUGGAACAAAUGAGGAGUGAGAUACAGCAACAGAGAGAGGAGACAGAAUCUCACAUGGAAGACCAAAGGAAAGAGAAAGAACAUUUGGAACAAAUGACGACGGACAUGAAAAAACAGUUGCUAGAGGUGGACAAUGACAAGGAAAUUAUACAAAGCUCAAUGGGUGAACUGAGAGUGAAAGAGGCAGAAAUGGUGAGAGAAAAAGACAACAUGGAUAACAAGAUGGCUAGGCUCAAAGAGGAAGAGGAUAGAAUGCGGGAAGAAAUAGGAAGGAAGAUGGACAUCUUAAAGCAGGAAAGUUGUGAAAUCAAAAGACUUAGAGAUGAAAUUGACAGUGAAAAGGACCAGCUGAAUGCAAAAUUGCUUGAGUUGGAAAAAAUGCGUGAAGAACAAGAUAGAGAGAAGAAGGAAGUGAAAGACAGGAAGGAUGAAACACUGAAAGAGAAAGAUCAGUUGGAAGAGAGGCGAGGUAAGAUAAGUAAGGAGAAAGAGGAAUUGGAUAUCAGUCUUGAACUGAUGAAAAGACAAAGGGAAGACUUGACGAGCUUGAAGGCUGAAGCAGAAGUACAGACCGAACCUAUGGAAACAGACUGGAAGGAAAAGCUCACGAUGGAAAGACAACAACUUGAAGAUGUAAAGGAGGAGAUACAGAAGGAAAAAGAAACCUUUGAGAGAAAGAAGGGAUUGACCAUGAAAGAAAGAGAUGAGUUUGAUCUGAUGAAGUCUGAAACCCAGGGACAAUUGGAGGAAAUAGAACAAAACAAACAAGACAUUCGUGUGGAGAAGGAAAAGCUGGAUCAGAUCAAAGCUGAGUUAGAAAGACGGUCUGAAGACAUCAAUCAUGUCAUGGAUGAGACAAGACGGGAGAGGGGGAAGGUUGAAGAACUGGCUAUCCAAACUCAAAAACAAAGAGAAGACAUGGUGGGUUUUAUGGAAAAGAACAAACAAAAGCAGAACGAACUGGAACUCAUGAAUGACAAGAUUGAAAGAGAGAAACAAGACAUCGAAGACAGUCGGGAUGUGCUAACAAAGGAGAGAGUGGAGCUGGAACAAAUGAGGAGUGAGAUACAGCAACAGAGAGAGGAGACAGAAUCUCACAUGGAAGACCAAAGGAAAGAGAAAGAGCAUUUGGAACAAAUGACGACGGACAUGAAAAAACAGUUGCUAGAGGUGGACAAUGACAAGGAAAUGAUACAAAGUUCAAUGGGUGAACUGAGAGUGAAAGAGGCAGAAAUGGUGAGAGAAAAAGACAACAUGGAUAACAAGAUGGCUAGGCUCAAUGAGGAAGAGGAUAGAAAGCGGGAAGAAAUAGGAAGGAAAAUGGACAUCUUAAAGCAGGAAAGUUGUGAAAUCACAAGACUUAGAGAUGAAAUUGACAGUGAAAAGGACCAGCUGAAUGCAAAAUUGCUUGAGUUGGAAAAAAUGCGUGAAGAACUAGAUAGACAGAAGAAGGAAGUGAAAGACAGGAAGGAUGAAACACUGAAAGAGAAAGAUCAGUUGGAAGAGAGGCGAGGUAAGAUAAGUAAGGAGAAAGAGGAAUUGGAUAUCAGUCUUGAACUGAUGAAAAGACAAAGGGAAGACUUGACGAGCUUGAAGGCUGAAGCAGAAGUACAGACCGAACCUAUGGAAACAGACUGGAAGGAAAAGCUCACGAGGGAAAGACAACAACUUCAAGAUGUAAAGGAGGAGAUACAGAAGGAAAAAGAAACCUUUGAGAGAAAGAAGGGAUUGACCAUGAAAGAAAGAGAUGAGUUUGAUCUGAUGAAGUCUGAAACCCAGGGACAAUUGGAGGAAAUAGAACAAAACAAACAAGACAUUCGUGUGGAGAAGGAAAAGCUGGAUCAGAUCAAAGCUGAGUUAGAAAGACGGUCUGAAGACAUCAAUCAUGCUCAUGGAUGAGACAAGACGGGAGAGGGGGAAGGUUGAAGAACUGGCUAUCCAAACUCAAAAACAAAGAGAAGACAUGGUGGGUUUUAUGGAAAAGAACAAACAAAAGCAGAACGAACUGGAACUCAUGAAUGACAAGAUUGAAAGAGAGAAACAAGACAUCGAAGACAGUCGGGAUGUGCUAACAAAGGAGAGAGUGGAGCUGGAACAAAUGAGGAGUGAGAUACAGCAACAGAGAGAGGAGACAGAAUCUCACAUGGAAGACCAAAGGAAAGAGAAAGAGCAUUUGGAACAAAUGACGACGGACAUGAAAAAACAGUUGCUAGAGGUGGACAAUGACAAGGAAAUGAUACAAAGUUCAAUGGGUGAACUGAGAGUGAAAGAGGCAGAAAUGGUGAGAGAAAAAGACAACAUGGAUAACAAGAUGGCUAGGCUCAAUGAGGAAGAGGAUAGAAAGCGGGAAGAAAUAGGAAGGAAAAUGGACAUCUUAAAGCAGGAAAGUUGUGAAAUCACAAGACUUAGAGAUGAAAUUGACAGUGAAAAGGACCAGCUGAAUGCAAAAUUGCUUGAGUUGGAAAAAAUGCGUGAAGAACUAGAUAGACAGAAGAAGGAAGUGAAAGACAGGAAGGAUGAAACACUGAAAGAGAAAGAUCAGUUGGAAGAGAGGCGAGGUAAGAUAAGUAAGGAGAAAGAGGAAUUGGAUAUCAGUCUUGAACUGAUGAAAAGACAAAGGGAAGACUUGACGAGCUUGAAGGCUGAAGCAGAAGUACAGACCGAACCUAUGGAAACAGACUGGAAGGAAAAGCUCACGAGGGAAAGACAACAACUUCAAGAUGUAAAAGAGGAGAUACAGAAGGAAAAAGAAACCUUUGAGAGAAAGAAGGGAUUGACCAUGAAAGAAAGAGAUGAGUUUGAUCUGAUGAAGUCUGAAACCCAGGGACAAUUGGAGGAAAUAGAACAAAACAAACAAGACAUUCGUGUGGAGAAGGAAAAGCUGGAUCAGAUCAAAGCUGAGUUAGAAAGACGGUCUGAAGACAUCAAUCAUGUCAUGGAUGAGACAAGACGGGAGAGGGGGAAGGUUGAAGAACUGGCUAUCCAAACUCAAAAACAAAGAGAAGACAUGGUGGGUUUUAUGGAAAAGAACAAACAAAAGCAGAACGAACUGGAACUCAUGAAUGACAAGAUUGAAAGAGAGAAACAAGACAUCGAAGACAGUCGGGAUGUGCUAACAAAGGAGAGAGUGGAGCUGGAACAAAUGAGGAGUGAGAUACAGCAACAGAGAGAGGAGACAGAAUCUCACAUGGAAGACCAAAGGAAAGAGAAAGAGCAUUUGGAACAAAUGACGACGGACAUGAAAAAACAGUUGCUAGAGGUGGACAAUGACAAGGAAAUGAUACAAAGCUCAAUGGGUGAACUGAGAGUGAAAGAGGCAGAAAUGGUGAGAGAAAAAGACAACAUGGAUAACAAGAUGGCUAGGCUCAAAGAGGAAGAGGAUGGAAUGCGGGAAGAAAUAGGAAGGAAGAUGGACAUCUUAAAGCAGGAAAGUUGUGAAAUCAAAAGACUUAGAGAUGAAAUUGACAGUGAAAAGGACCAGCUGAAUGCAAAAUUGCUUGAGUUGGAGAAAAUGCGUGAAGAACUAGAAAGAGAGAAGAAGGAAGUGAACAACAGGAAGGAUGAAACACUGAAAGAGAAAGAUCAGUUGGAAGAGAGGCGAGGUAAGAUGAGCAAGGAGAAAGAGGAAUUGGAUAUCAGUCUUGAACUGAUGAAAAGACAAGGGGAAGACUUGACGAGCUUGAAGGCUGAAGCAGACGCACAGACCGAGGCUAUGGAAACAGACUGGAAGGAAAAGCUCACGAUGGAAAGACAACAACUUGAAGAUGUAAAGGAGGAGAUACAGAAGGAAAAAGAAGCCUUUGAGAGAAAGAAGGGAUUGACCAUGAAAGAAAGAGAUGAGUUUGAUCUGAUGAAGUCUGAAACCCAGGGACAAUUGGAGGAAAUAGAACAAAACAAACAAGACAUUCGUGUGGAGAAGGAAAAGCUGGAUCAGAUCAAAGCUGAGUUAGAAAGACGGUCUGAAGACAUCAAUCAGCUCAUGGAUGAGACAAGACGGGAGAGGGGGAAGGUUGAAGAACUGGCUAUCCAAACUCAAAAACAAAGAGAAGAAAUGGUGGGUUUUAUGGAAAAGAACAAACAAAAGCAGAACGAACUGGAACUCAUGAAUGACAAGAUUGAAAGAGAGAAACAAGACAUCGAAGAAAGUUGGGAUGUGCUAACAAAGGAGAGAGAGGAGCUGGAACAAAUGAGGAGUGAGAUACAGCAACAGAGAGAGGAGACAGAAUCUCACAUGGAAGACCAAAGGAAAGAGAAAGAACAUUUGGAACAAAUGACGACGGACAUGAAAAAACAGUUGCUAAAGGUGGACAAUGACAAGGAAAUGAUACAAAGCUCAAUGUGUGAACUGAGAGUGAAAGAGGCAGAAAUGGUGAGAGAAAAAGACAACAUGGAUAACAAGAUGGCUAGGCUCAAAGAGGAAGAGGAUGGAAUGCGGGAAGAAAUAGGAAGGAAGAUGGACAUCUUAAAGCAGGAAAGUUGUGAAACCAAAAGACUAAGAGAUGAAAUUGACAGUGAAAAGGACCAGCUGAAUGCAAAAUUGCUUGAGUUGGAAAAAAUGCGUGAAGAACUAGAUAGAGAGAAGAAGGAAGUGAAAGACAGGAAGGAUGAAACACUGAAAGAGAAAGAUCAGUUGGAAGAGAGGCGAGGUAAGAUAAGUAAGGAGAAAGAGGAAUUGGAUAUCAGUCUUGAACUGAUGAAAAGACAAAGGGAAGACUUGACAAGCUUGAAGGCUGAAGCAGAAGUACAGACCGAACCUAUGGAAACAGACUGGAAGGAAAAGCUCACGAUGGAAAGACAACAACUUGAAGAUGUAAAGGAGGAGAUACAGAAGGAAAAAGAAGCCUUUGAGAGAAAGAAGGGUUUGACCAUGAAAGAAAGAGAUGAGUUUGAUCUGAUGAAGUCUGAAACACAGGGACAAUUGGAGGAAAUAGAACAAAACAAACAAGACAUUCGUGUGGAGAAGGAAAAGCUGGAUCAGAUCAAAGCUGAGUUAGAAAGACGGUCUGAAGACAUCAAUCAGCUCAUGGAUGAGACAAGACGGGAGAGGGGGAAGGUUGAAGAACUGGCUAUCCAAACUCAAAAACAAAGAGAAGAAAUGGUGGGUUUUAUGGAAAAGAACAAACAAAAGCAGAACGAACUGGAACUCAUGAAUGACAAGAUUGAAAGAGAGAAACAAGACAUCGAAGACAGUCGGGAUGUGCUAACAAAGGAGAGAGUGGAGCUGGAACAAAUGAGGAGUGAGAUACAGCAACAGAGAGAGGAGACAGAAUCUCACAUGGAAGACCAAAGGAAAGAGAAAGAGCAUUUGGAACAAAUGACGACGGACAUGAAAAAACAGUUGCUAGAGGUGGACAAUGACAAGGAAAUGAUACAAAGCUCAAUGGGUGAACUGAGAGUGAAAGAGGCAGAAAUGGUGAGAGAAAAAGACAACAUGGAUAACAAGAUGGCUAGGCUCAAAGAGGAAGAGGAUGGAAUGCGGGAAGAAAUAGGAAGGAAGAUGGACAUCUUAAAGCAGGAAAGUUGUGAAAUCAAAAGACUUAGAGAUGAAAUUGACAGUGAAAAGGACCAGCUGAAUGCAAAAUUGCUUGAGUUGGAGAAAAUGCGUGAAGAACUAGAAAGAGAGAAGAAGGAAGUGAACAACAGGAAGGAUGAAACACUGAAAGAGAAAGAUCAGUUGGAAGAGAGGCGAGGUAAGAUGAGCAAGGAGAAAGAGGAAUUGGAUAUCAGUCUUGAACUGAUGAAAAGACAAAGGGAAGACUUGACAAGCUUGAAGGCUGAAGCAGAAGUACAGACCGAAGCCUAUGGAAACAGACUGGAAGGAAAAGCUCACGAUGGAAAGACAACAACUUGAAGAUGUAAAGGAGGAGAUACAGAAGGAAAAAGAAGCCUUUGAGAGAAAGAAGGGUUUGACCAUGAAAGAAAGAGAUGAGUUUGAUCUGAUGAAGUCUGAAACACAGGGACAAUUGGAGGAAAUAGAACAAAACAAACAAGACAUUCGUGUGGAGAAGGAAAAGCUGGAUCAGAUCAAAGCUGAGUUAGAAAGACGGUCUGAAGACAUCAAUCAGCUCAUGGAUGAGACAAGACGGGAGAGGGGGAAGGUUGAAGAACUGGCUAUCCAAACUCAAAAACAAAGAGAAGAAAUGGUGGGUUUUAUGGAAAAGAACAAACAAAAGCAGAACGAACUGGAACUCAUGAAUGACAAGAUUGAAAGAGAGAAACAAGACAUCGAAGACAGUCGGGAUGUGCUAACAAAGGAGAGAGAGGAGCUGGAACAAAUGAGGAGUGAGAUACAGCAACAA